GUGGCUGUAGCUCAACGGUAGAGUCCUGGAUUGUGAUUCCAGUUGUUGCGGGUUCGAAUCCCGUCAGCCACCCCA
Molecule: transfer RNA, 75 nt
Filed under: Rhodoplanes sp.
Lineage: Bacteria; Pseudomonadati; Pseudomonadota; Alphaproteobacteria; Hyphomicrobiales; Nitrobacteraceae
Also listed under: 3 other names
Description: tRNA-His
Rfam family: tRNA
About the family: Transfer RNA (tRNA) molecules are approximately 80 nucleotides in length.
Source: RNAcentral